Molecule: long non-coding RNA, 1028 nt
Filed under: Monodelphis domestica (gray short-tailed opossum)
Lineage: Eukaryota; Metazoa; Chordata; Mammalia; Didelphimorphia; Didelphidae
Description: lncRNA (ENSMODG00000037199.1)
Source: RNAcentral
GUGAUCAAUAUUUUCUCUCUCCACCACCCCCUUCACUUCUUCAAGACUAUAGGGAAUAUAUGUUGUACAUGUGUUAUUAUACAGUCUGUAUUUCCAUGUUUAUCAUGUAAAAGAAGACAUCACUAUAGAAAAACAUAUGGAGGAAAUAAAGUGAAGAAUGAGGUUCAUCAUUUUCAAUAUGAAUAUUAUCCUGCUCGUGGAAUAUGGCUAUCACUCUGCAACAGAAAAGUUGCUGAAAAUAUGAAAUUGUGGAUCUUCCAUCUGCACAUGGAGUCUGUGGAAUUCACAAGUGACAGCCUUAAAAAUGGAAAUGAAACUAUGGCCAAAGCAGGACACAGAAGAUAAAGUGGGAAAGGAGCUUCAUAUGCACUGAGACCAAGAGACUAAAUGAUAUUUCAUCAAAGCUUAUUAAAAAUUUUUAAAUGAUCAAAGGUGCUCUAAGAGAAAUGUAAAAUCAGAAUAUUUUUGAAAGAUGUAUCAGUCACCUAAAAAGAGCAAAAGUAAUUGAUCAACAGUCUACAAUAUGUCAAGAAAAAUAGAGGAAGGCCCCCUGAGCAUAUUGUUCUUAUCCCCUUUGUGAAUUUCCAGGAGGAUGUAAAUGGAAAUUAUAUUGUAUGAGCAGGCAUGAAUGAAUUGCAAUAUGCAUCACAAUAAGGAAUAAUCACAAAAGACCAUUGAUGACUGAAUUAGAGGAAAAGUAAUUGGAAUUGAAAAUAAUAAUACAUAUUAAUUAUAUCUGGAGAAAUAUUAUUUUAUUCAAUAGCUCAAGGUACGAAAAAAACAGUUUUAUUUGCUGUAAAAAAAAAAAAACAAACAAGCAAGGAAGAACCUGUUUGUAUUUUCUUGUAUGGAUAGUAGCAAGGAACAUUUCAUUACAGAUAUAUUCCAGUGGCCAUUUUACCUUAAUCCUAGUCAUCACCAAUUAUUAGCAUAAAAAUAGAUUAUUUUAUUCAAUUUACAGGUCAACACAGCAUUCUCUUAUCAAGAAGAGAUUUGGUUUUCAAAAAUUAUUCUUUUAUGUCUAUGUA